RNAcentral lists this ribosomal RNA (400 nucleotides) under uncultured bacterium. Its description in RNAcentral is "bacterial SSU rRNA". It matches the Rfam family "Bacterial small subunit ribosomal RNA", at positions 355 to 772 of the family's 1533-position model. The record is from RNAcentral.
UGGGGAAUAUUGCACAAUGGGGGAAACCCUGAUGCAGCGACGCCGCGUGAAGGAAGAAGUAUUUCGGUAUGUAAACUUCUAUCAGCAGGGAAGAAAAUGACGGUACCUGACUAAGAAGCCCCGGCUAACUACGUGCCAGCAGCCGCGGUAAUACGUAGGGGGCAAGCGUUAUCCGGAUUUACUGGGUGUAAAGGGAGCGUAGACGGAAGUGCAAGUCUGAAGUGAAAGCCCGGGGCUCAACCCCGUGACUGCUUUGGAAACUGUGCUUCUAGAGUGUCGGAGAGGUAAGCGGAAUUCCUAGUGUAGCGGUGAAAUGCGUAGAUAUUAGGAGGAACAUCAGUGGCGAAGGCGGCUUACUGGACGAUAACUGACGUUGAGGCUCGAAAGCGUGGGGAGCAAA